GGCGGGGUAGUUUAAUAAGAACAGUGGGCUUAUGACCCAAAAGUGGGGAUAUAGAUUUCCCCUCUCGCUU
Molecule: transfer RNA, 70 nt
Filed under: Placopecten magellanicus (sea scallop)
Lineage: Eukaryota; Metazoa; Mollusca; Bivalvia; Pectinida; Pectinidae
Description: tRNA-Met
Rfam family: tRNA
About the family: Transfer RNA (tRNA) molecules are approximately 80 nucleotides in length.
Source: RNAcentral